This 76-nucleotide transfer RNA is filed under the name Lentisphaerota bacterium. Its description in RNAcentral is "Lentisphaerae bacterium (anaerobic digester metagenome) tRNA-Phe". It matches the Rfam family "tRNA". From Rfam's summary of the family: Transfer RNA (tRNA) molecules are approximately 80 nucleotides in length. Lineage: Bacteria; Pseudomonadati; Lentisphaerota. The record is from RNAcentral. RNAcentral also lists the same sequence under 3 other names.
GGCGAGAUAGCUCAGCUGGUAGAGCAACGGACUGAAAAUCCGUGUGUCAUCGGUUCGAUCCCGAUUCUCGCCACCA